UACAGAGGAGCCAAGCGUUGUCCGGAUUGACUGGGCGUAAAGCGCACGCAGGCGGUUGCGCGCGUGGGGUGUGAAAUCUGGCCGCUUAACGGCCAGGCGCCAUCCCAUACGGCGCGACUGGAGGGCUGCAGAGGUCGAUGGAAUUGCCGGUGUAGUGGUGAAAUGCGUAGAUAUAGGAAGGAAUACCAGUGGCGAAGGCGGCUCACUGGCCCGAUACUGACGCUGAGGCACGAAAGCGUGGGGAGCAAACAGG
Molecule: ribosomal RNA, 253 nt
Filed under: uncultured bacterium
Lineage: Bacteria
Description: partial 16S ribosomal RNA
Rfam family: Bacterial small subunit ribosomal RNA
Source: RNAcentral